This 1503-nucleotide long non-coding RNA is filed under the name Vulpes vulpes (red fox). RNAcentral's name for it is "lncRNA (ENSVVUG00000021288.1)". The record is from RNAcentral. Lineage: Eukaryota; Metazoa; Chordata; Mammalia; Carnivora; Canidae.
GCCCACUGCCGACCCCGACGGCCCCGCCCACUUUCCCGCCCGCGCCCACUGUCGGGCUUAGGAAGCCUAGAAACUGGCAUAUGGUUCUGAUUAAUCAAUUGUCUAUUUAAAGUGUGUGUGUGUGCGCGCGCAGCUCGAUAAAUGAUCUGUGGAGACCGGGAGAUUGCCCCAGGCAGAAAACCGUUUCCGCCGGAGCAAGAGUCUGCGGAGACCCGAGUACCAGCCCGCGGCGCACGGCGGACUCUAGGAGUGGGAGGCACUCGGCUGAGGAUGACAGCUCUGUCCUGCCCGGGCCCCCUGUCCUGGGAGCUUGAAGGGUUGAUGAAUGCCUUGGUGGACGCUGAGCUAAGGACUGAUAGGUCGCCAGAGGUGUUCGGGCAGCCUCGAGGGUGCUGGGCUGCGCGUGGACCGCAGCAAGGAAGUCCUGAGCUGCCGCUGGGCCUUUGGACCAGGAUUUCCUUGUGACUACUAUGAAGGUCGAGAACCAUGCAAAAAGAGACAACAAUAUUGAAGCUAAAGUAAACGCUCUGCAGAUCAUGAUGCCAAACAACUAAAUUUUCUCCCUGAAACUAUUCAUGGAGCACAAAUUGAUUACUACCUUAAAUUGACACUGGAGAAGCUGUAAAGAGACAGCUGCAUUGUUCUAAAUUUCAUGUGGGUAAGUCAUGGUGUGUGCCAAUCCUAAUACUGUCCUUGGAUCAGUGACACAGGGAAGGUGGGGCAGGCUCUACAGUGCCUUAUGGGUAAAAGCUACUUGCUCUGUAAAACUGACCCUCAGGACCUGUAUGGAAUUUAUUCUUGGCCUGGGUUAGGAUUCUGGGUUCAAAGCAUCUGACAGGGGUUAUUAAUUGUUCUCAUUCUUGUUUAUGUCAUAGGGGUAGUAAAACUGGUCCACUGCAUUCUAUCCAGGGUCUGAAAUGCUUCUGCACAGCUACUUUCCUCAUCAGAUGAUCCUCAUGGUGAUACAACAGAAAGGCUGAGAAGACUUCAUGAUACAGUUGGCCAUGUAGAGGACUGAACAAUCGAUCUCAAAGUGGUGAAGAUCUGGAUUUCUAGACUUCCCUAAAUUCACCAACUUCUCACAAGCAAGAAAAUGAUCAGAAAGGAAGACUGAGAGACAAUAUGCAGACAUACAAUGACCAGACCACAUGUAAACUGAGAAGCCCUGACCCACACCUCUGUAGGAACUGGCCCAGAAUGGUCGGGGCUUGGUCUAUGACUGCCACGUUCCCCACUUUUGCUAUUUCCAAAUCAGAACCAAUCAGAGAGAGCCAAAUAUGUUCCCAAAGCAAAUCUCAUAAGAUGCCCGACUUCUAGGUAGCCUACCUUCCGCUUCCCCCUGCCAACAACUUCCAAGCACAACGUGCCUGAAGCCUCUCUCCCUCACCCCCUUUUUUUACUGUAAAGCUUUUCCCUCCUCUGCCUGCCUUCGAGUUUCUGUCAAAACCAACUGAUGGUGGUUGACUCUCUUACUAUAGCAAGUUCAGAAUAAAUAACCUCUGC